UACGGAGGGUGCGAGCGUUGUCCGGAAUCACUGGGCGUAAAGGGCGCGUAGGCGGCCUUCUAAGUCGAACGUGAAAUCCCCGGGCUCAACCCGGGAACUGCGUCCGAGACUGGAAGGCUUGAAUCCGGGAGAGGGAUGUGGAAUUCCAGGUGUAGCGGUGAAAUGCGUAGAUAUCUGGAGGAACAUCGGUGGCGAAGGCGGCAUCCUGGACCGGUAUUGACGCUGAGGCGCGAAAGCCAGGGGAGCAAACGGG
Molecule: ribosomal RNA, 253 nt
Filed under: uncultured prokaryote
Description: partial 16S ribosomal RNA
Rfam family: Bacterial small subunit ribosomal RNA
Source: RNAcentral